AGUGUGAAUUUAAAUUGAGGUCCCAACUGCAACAUGUAUUUACAUCUGUUUUCAAUUCUGAAGACACAGACGACAACAAAGCCCACUCUGCACAUCAGCAUACGAACGCUUCUGCAUGCAAAUUCAGUCUUCAGAGUUGAGCAGGAAACCCCUGACAGCAUUUAGCAACAAGGAGCUGAAUCAACAUUUGGUUGCUCUUUUUUUUGUAAAAGAAUAUUGAACCAGUCUCUGAACUUCAGAGGAAGCUUAGUAUUUGAUGUUUUAAUUUCACUGUUGCACUCUGCUUUUCUCUUUGAUUUAAACCAACUGAACAAUAAACAGGAAAACGCAGCCAGGCAUGGAAAACAGAA
Notolabrus celidotus (New Zealand spotty) is the source of this 350-nucleotide long non-coding RNA. RefSeq lists it as uncharacterized. The record is from RefSeq and is a predicted model, not a curated record. NCBI's taxonomy places the organism in Eukaryota, Metazoa, Chordata, Actinopteri, Labriformes, Labridae. The transcript is spliced from 2 exons.